This is a long non-coding RNA of Cydia amplana, 133 nucleotides long. RefSeq lists it as uncharacterized. The transcript has 2 exons. Lineage: Eukaryota; Metazoa; Arthropoda; Insecta; Lepidoptera; Tortricidae. The record is from RefSeq and is a predicted model, not a curated record.
UUUUUUUCAACUCCGUUAAUUUCAAGGGUGCAUUCCUGAGCUUAAAUUAAUUCAGUCAAAGAUUGAUUAAGAUGUGUAAAAUCUAAGACAAUUUCGUGCUUCGAAUUUGACAGGUCAACGAGAUGGCGCUGUA